Molecule: ribosomal RNA, 850 nt
Filed under: Arthrobacter sp. NAS7(1)
Lineage: Bacteria; Bacillati; Actinomycetota; Actinomycetes; Micrococcales; Micrococcaceae
Description: bacterial SSU rRNA
Rfam family: Bacterial small subunit ribosomal RNA
Source: RNAcentral
UACCAUGCAGUCGAACGAUGAUCUCCAGCUUGCUGGGGGGAUUAGUGGCGAACGGGUGAGUAACACGUGAGUAACCUGCCCUUGACUCUGGGAUAAGCCUGGGAAACUGGGUCUAAUACCGGAUAUGACCGGCCGCCGCAUGGUGUGUUGGUGGAAAGCUUUUGCGGUUUUGGAUGGACUCGCGGCCUAUCAGCUUGUUGGUGGGGUAAUGGCCUACCAAGGCGACGACGGGUAGCCGGCCUGAGAGGGUGACCGGCCACACUGGGACUGAGACACGGCCCAGACUCCUACGGGAGGCAGCAGUGGGGAAUAUUGCACAAUGGGCGGAAGCCUGAUGCAGCGACGCCGCGUGAGGGAUGACGGCCUUCGGGUUGUAAACCUCUUUCAGUAGGGAAGAAGCUUUCGGGUGACGGUACCUGCAGAAGAAGCGCCGGCUAACUACGUGCCAGCAGCCGCGGUAAUACGUAGGGCGCAAGCGUUAUCCGGAAUUAUUGGGCGUAAAGAGCUCGUAGGCGGUUUGUCGCGUCUGCUGUGAAAGACCGGGGCUCAACUCCGGUUCUGCAGUGGGUACGGGCAGACUAGAGUGAUGUAGGGGAGACUGGAAUUCCUGGUGUAGCGGUGAAAUGCGCAGAUAUCAGGAGGAACACCGAUGGCGAAGGCAGGUCUCUGGGCAUUAACUGACGCUGAGGAGCGAAAGCAUGGGGAGCGAACAGGAUUAGAUACCCUGGUAGUCCAUGCCGUAAACGUUGGGCACUAGGUGUGGGGGACAUUCCACGUUUUCCGCGCCGUAGCUAACGCAUUAAGUGCCCCGCCUGGGGAGUACGGCCGCAAGGCUAAAACUCAAGAAAAU